UCUGUCCUUGCGUGUGACUCUGUGUGUGUGUGUGUGUGUGCAAGAGCAUAUGCGUGCGUGGGUGCGUGCUUUCCUCAACACCUCUCGCCUUCCUACACAAUCCUCUGCUUCAGGUGAGUGUGAUCGUUUUUCAAUUGCUUCUCCCAGAAGCGCCAGAGGACACUCGUAUUUCACAUUAAUAUUCAUUUUACCGGCCGCGUGAGCCUCGGCAAGGGGAGGAGGCUGAGACGUGUGAAAACGACAUCUCUCCUCAUCAUACGAGUCCUUCCUCUUCAUUAUCUUGGACCAGCCACUCCAGCCUUCAACAGCAGCUUCACCUGCACGGGACUCUCAGCGGACUCUGAGGCUGCCUUGCAGGUCGGACGAUGGAGAUAACUUCGCCACAACCCAUACAAAUAUCUCCAUGUCGCACUGACUUUUAUACCAAUUCCACUCGCAAGUCACUCAUCAGAACUUCGCCGCAUCCUAGGCUUGACUCCUGCAUCCAUCAACGGAAAAACCUGCGCCUGGCUACGGUCCGUAAGUCAUCGAAUCCUGGCACAUCGAAAAGUAAUUCUGCACACAGACUUCGGCCAUCCUGCGUGUACGACAAGAUGCUUCCACUGUUCCAGCCCUCAGCAAAGCAGUCAUCAUCAGCUCGUGCCAGCUCGUGGCAAAGAAAGUCAUCAUCAACCACUGACAUCUGCUGCUGCAAGUCUGCGCCACCCGUUUCCUCGCUUUGCCACAUCCCUCAGCCAGCCUUCCCACCCGAGGACUGCGCGGGUGCACCGACGAGCAAUGACUGUUCGCACUUCUCACCUGCAGCUUGCUCGUAUUCUGCAAUGAUUCCCAGGAUGUCUCCAGCAGCGAUCAGAAGCAUCUCGAUGUCACAGCAGUCUGCCCUCUCCAGUGCAGCAAGUCCUUUAGCGUAUCGUCUUCUGUAUGGUUCGUGGGAAGACGAUCUACCAUUCAUUGACCUCGACGAGGCCAAGUAGUUUGUUUACAUUUAUUUUCUCAAGUGCUCUUACAACAAAGUCCAAAACAAGUAUGUCCCACUGUAAAAGUCUCAUUACACCACAACUAACCAUACUUCUUCGAGCAUUGCGUCUCUGCUGACUAGUUUGAAUGACAUUUAAAUCACAUUUUUGCUGCAGGCGGUUGAGCCACAGACCUGUAUACAGAUACAGAUUCAUGAUUAAACUUAUACCUUGUUACAACGCUUCAUUGGACCCAAUCAGAUGUGUCUGGUGUUUCUCAUUAAAUCUCCUCAGGUGAUUUGCUUUUCAUUCCCAUGAGAUGUAUUUUAAGCUACCAGUUUUUUUUUUCAGUUAUUACUUUAAUGAGAAUCAGGCUAUAUUCAUAGAAAUACACAAUUUUUUCUGCUGUGCAGUUCUGUGCAUUUAUUAAAAGUAAUAAGUUUUCGUUUUACAUUUGCACCAUACAGACUUUUUUCUCAAUGUUGUCAAAGCAAGACAUCAUGGAAAGUUAAAGAUGGCAGGAAGAAAAUAGCCAGUCAAAUAUUCUUGUUAUAAUAUGAGUCCACAUUGUGCAGAUAAAAAGCAACACAUUACACACUAAUUAGGCAAAAAUAAAUAUGACGAUGCAAGAAAGCUACAACACAUCCGAAUGCCAGUUGUGCCUACACACACACACAAACAGAUUUGCCCUCACAUCUGAAACACAUGCUGAGCACUAGAUGAUUUCCACAGACUUAAGAGGCAAUGUAAGAUGCUGACCAAGAUGGAGAAACAAGAUAAACUGCACUUUGAAUAUCUUUUUCUAAAGAUGCUAGCAUUCAUGCACAUUGCUUCUGAGGUCAUAAGUCACUUUGCAUUCUAAAUCCUUUUACAUUAGACAUUCACAAGAUGUGUUUCACUAACUUAGAAGGCACAAAAACAGUUUGCCUUACUCCUUAGCAACCAGUGAUGCUGCUUGAAAGGGAAGACAAGAGCCAGAUUCUCUCAUACUUAUGCACCCAAAUGAAAAAUCACCAUUAUUACAGCUGAAACAAUAAUGUGCUGCUCAGCUUGUAAGUGAACAUUUUCAUUAAUUGCUGUAUAUGUGUUCUUUUGCUUCAAUUUGUGUACUUUAAAUUAUUUAGAGUCAAUAAUUCUGUAAUCAUAGGUAAACAACUAGUAAACAAGAAAAACUAUACAUUUUGUGUUUUAACUUAGUGUAUUUAAAAUUUUUACAGUUCUACAUAGAAGCUAAUACAAAGAACUUUUUUGUUAACUGCACAAGAUAACUUUAUUCAUUUUGUCAAACAUGACAUCAAAAUUGAAAUUAGUAUAAAGCACAUAAUUUUUUAAAAGUUAUCAUAAUAUUAGUUUUUUCACUGAGAAUUACUUGCAGGAUUGUUGAAUGACUCGAUUUGAAUUUGCAUUAUUUGUGUCAGGGCUCAUAAACAGAUAAUGUCUGGCUGCCUUCAUGCUACACGUACUAUCUAUUAACUCACAGCUGCACUAUUUUUUCAACCUUUUAACAAGACAGAAUUAUUCAAGUUAUAUAUUUGUCAUUAAUUUUCACACCAACAUGGUUCUUAAAAAUAAACUUAUUUCUUGUUUUA
Long non-coding RNA from Pomacea canaliculata, 2545 nucleotides. RefSeq lists it as uncharacterized. NCBI's taxonomy places the organism in Eukaryota, Metazoa, Mollusca, Gastropoda, Architaenioglossa, Ampullariidae. The record is from RefSeq and is a predicted model, not a curated record. The transcript has 2 exons.